GGGACUCCGGAGGGGUGGUGCGGCAGUGAGAGUGGUAGCCCUGCUUUGAGAAGACCUCCCAAAAGAGGAGAGGGACCCUGAGGCCCUCUUUUGUUCAGGCAAACCUAGAGCCACCGUAGUCUUGUGCCCACUUCUGCAUGUCCUUUAGAGGGACCGUGAACAAUAGGAGCAUAGCCUGAGAAGGGCGACCAGGAGAGAAAAACGUUUGGAGACCGUGAGUCAUGAUUAUAGUCUUCAAAACCACACAGCAGGCCUGCCCUUUGGAGUCUCAGAGGGCAGGACUAGGCUCAAUGAGUGGAUGUCAUAGGGAGUUAAUUUCUCCUAGAACAGUAUGUUCCAGUAAAAGGAGACCAUGUGAUUGGCAUAGUGACAGCUAAAUCUGGAGAUAUAUUCAAAGUUGAUGUUGGAGGGAGUGAGCCAGCUUCUUUGUCUUACUUGUCAUUUGAAGGUGCAACUAAAAGAAACAGACCAAAUGUGCAGGCUAUUAGCUCCAGAUUGUGAAAUCAUACAGGAAGUGGGAAAACUCUAUCCACUGGAGAUAGUAUUUGGAAUGAAUGGAAGAAUAUGGGUUAAGGCAAAAACCAUCCAGCAGACUUUAAUUUUGGCAAACAUUUUAGAAGCUUGUGAACACAUGACGUCAGAUCAAAGAAAACAGAUCUUCUCCAGAUUGGCAGAAAGUUGAUAUAGGUGGACUUUACAGGUCAGUUGAGGCAAAAAACUAUGGGUUUUUUCAGGUGAACCUCCCCCAUUUAAAUACUCAGAAGAUAAGG
This 770-nucleotide small RNA is filed under the name Pan troglodytes (chimpanzee). Its description in RNAcentral is "processed transcript". The record is from RNAcentral. Lineage: Eukaryota; Metazoa; Chordata; Mammalia; Primates; Hominidae.